RNAcentral lists this non-coding RNA (582 nucleotides) under Pongo abelii (Sumatran orangutan). Lineage: Eukaryota; Metazoa; Chordata; Mammalia; Primates; Hominidae. The record is from RNAcentral.
CUCUCCCCGAAGGUCCUCUGAGGAGGAGAAACAAAGUAAGGCGUGCAUGAGCGACAUGGGAGAUUGUAUGACGGAGUCUCACUCUGUCGCCCAGGCUGGAGUGCAGUGGCGGGAUCUCGGCUCACUGCAAGCUCUGCCUCCCGGGUUCACGCCAUUCUCCUGCCUCAGCCUCCGAAGUAGCUGGGACUACCAGUGCCCGCCACCACGGCCGGCUAUUUUGUAUUUUUAGUAGAGAUGGGGUUUCACCGUGUUAGCCAGGACGGUCUUGAUCUCCUGACCUCGUGAUCCGCCCACCUCGGCCUCCCAAAGUGCUGGGAUUACAGGCGUGAGCCACCCUGCUCGGCCUAAUGUGUGCUUAUCUUAACCAAAAUGAGCCCUCAUUUCACUUUCCUGUUCUACUCUAAGGAAGAUAAAAUAUCAUUCCAACUUGAGGUAGAGGCAGGUGCCAGUACCCAAGACCCUGGGCUGUGCAGCAGGGGCUACUGUAAACCCAAGACCCCAAACUUCCUCCCUCUGCCAGAGCCAGGGAGCAGCUCUGACGCCCUCUAGCCCCUUCUCCGUUAGCCUCAAUUUCAAAUAAAA